GACGAACGCUGGCGGCGUGCUUAACACAUGCAAGUCGAGCGGUAAGGCCCUUUCGGGGGUACACGAGCGGCGAACGGGUGAGUAACACGUGGGUGACCUGCCCUCAGCUCUGGGAUAAGCCCGGGAAACUGGGUCUAAUACCGGAUAUGACUCCAUGACGCAUGUUGUGGGGUGGAAAGCCUUGUGCGGCUGAGGAUGGG
Molecule: ribosomal RNA, 200 nt
Filed under: uncultured bacterium
Lineage: Bacteria
Description: partial 16S ribosomal RNA
Rfam family: Bacterial small subunit ribosomal RNA
Source: RNAcentral